This is a non-coding RNA of Caenorhabditis elegans, 21 nucleotides long. NCBI's taxonomy places the organism in Eukaryota, Metazoa, Nematoda, Chromadorea, Rhabditida, Rhabditidae. The record is from Ensembl.
UUAUGCGACAGUACGUAUGAA